Dermochelys coriacea (leatherback sea turtle) is the source of this 1135-nucleotide long non-coding RNA. RefSeq lists it as uncharacterized. The record is from RefSeq and is a predicted model, not a curated record. The transcript is spliced from 4 exons. NCBI's taxonomy places the organism in Eukaryota, Metazoa, Chordata, Testudines, Dermochelyidae.
CAAAUAAACUUGUUAGUCUCUAAGGUGCCACAAAGACUCCUCAUUGUUUUUGCUGAUUCAGUGUAGUUUUUAGACACCUAAGACUAAAUUUGUUAGUGAAAUGCAAGUACACAUCACACAUUUUAGUCAUUCAGGGGUAAGUACUUUCUGAGAAACAUUUAGCUUAACAUAACCAAGUUGUCAUUUGGAUAACAACACAUGUACACAAGUCAUCUUUCUCCUAUCAGUUGGAACUGACAUGAAGGUGGGCUCUCCAGCUCAACUUCACAGUUGCAAUGACUGUUUUGAGAUAAGAGUUCAUUCAGGUGACUAACUAAAGGUGACAGGAUAGCUGUAUUCUUCUUCACUUUCCAGAUUUUGCAGCAGUCUUCCUAACCAGACAUUUAAAAGAUUGAGUUUUAAUAGGGUGCUUGUCACCUACAUGACUAUUUAUUACCUAGUAGAGGGCACUCUGCCUGACCAGGUGAUUGCAGUACCCUUGACCAGAUGGUCUGGCUUCAGGGAGCAAGGUGUGAACAACACAUUUUUAUACAUCUUUUGCUUGCCCAGUUCCUCUUCUUGGCAAAGCCGAUGCGGACCAAAACAAAAAAAAAAGUGGCCCAUGCUUCAGAAGAAGACUUGAAAUGCCUAACGAGGAUGAGAGUUAUGUUCCUUCUCAUCAUCCUAUGAGGAAAUGGGACUGUCCUUUAUGACUUCUUAAUACUUUGUGUCUGGGAAACUCCAGUAUCUUUGUACAAAACAUCUUGUGCCAAUUUGUGUACACCAUGCUGGGCUGCCUGUAAAUUGAACCCCAAGUGGCUUAGCUCUGAACAGCAACCUACUUCCACAAGUAAUUUCAUCACCUGGCUACUCCUGGAUACCAAGUGGGCACAAUGGCUAAUGAAGAGAUUUGUUUUCCAGCCUAAAUGUGACUGGGACAUACGAGCUGCACAGCAUUAAAUGUGAGAAAACCAGCAGACUGAACCUAAGAUCAAGAACAAAGCCUAGGAAACAGACAACUCAGAUGCCAAUCAAAGAAGCAGAAGAACAUGGUUUUUGGAAGGUAAAGCACAUUUACAGUGUUAAACAAAAGGAUUCCAUAAUCUUACUAUGUAGAGUGAGUGAAAAUGGCAGGAGAUGAAUAAUACUGGAAUAA